GACUUUACUUCUGAAAUAUAUGGCAUUUCAACAGAGUGCCACGAAGGGUGAACAGUUGAGUGAUAUACCAUGGAUAACUUUAAGAAUGAUUCUACCUGCAUUGCUGUUUUGUUAGGAAACGGUGACAACCUUUUGGAAACUCUGGCAGAGAAAUUUAUGGAAUUCCUGGAGAAGGAGGAUUUAACUCUGACUCAGCCCGCCUUCACGCCCCAAGGUGCUAAGAAUCAAACAAGCGGCUCGCACACCAGAAGGUAUGCCUGGAAUGCCAGAUCCCCUCUCUUGGCUUCUGAAGAGGAUUUCAGAGAGAGGGGAAGAGCUGUGCGUUUCUGAGUGAGGACCCCUGGGGGCGUCAGAUUGAGGCUUGUGUACAUGAAAUUACGAACGGACGAUUGUUGAGAGCAAGAUUUGGACACUAUCUUAGCACUGUCAAGCAGAGCACAAAGAUUUGGUCACCUGAUACUACUGUAUCUGGAAAUUAGAA
Long non-coding RNA from Carassius auratus (goldfish), 481 nucleotides. RefSeq lists it as uncharacterized. The transcript has 2 exons. Lineage: Eukaryota; Metazoa; Chordata; Actinopteri; Cypriniformes; Cyprinidae. The record is from RefSeq and is a predicted model, not a curated record.